CAAUCGGCCCUUUUCAGGGCCAACAAUAUUUUUCAACGAGGAUCA
Trichomalopsis sarcophagae is the source of this 45-nucleotide non-coding RNA. The record is from Rfam. Lineage: Eukaryota; Metazoa; Arthropoda; Insecta; Hymenoptera; Pteromalidae.